RNAcentral lists this unclassified non-coding RNA (1662 nucleotides) under Hevea brasiliensis (rubber tree). Lineage: Eukaryota; Viridiplantae; Streptophyta; Magnoliopsida; Malpighiales; Euphorbiaceae. The record is from RNAcentral.
CAGAGAUACAUAGGUCGGUCACUGUCAUUCAAAAUCACCCAGCAACAACAUCAUAAAAGUUUCAUUAACAACCAAAGUUCACAAUAUUGGCAUCUAAUGUCUUGAAAAGACAUUAAAGAGGGGCAACUCAACGUCUUAAACAGAACUUCAUUCUACAUUAAAACAGACACAUGUAUCAAAUCAAGUCAAGCCAACAGAAGCUGCAUCCCCGCAGUGACCAAACUCUAGCUAAUAACAAACAAGGAUAUGAAGGAUGCACUCAACACAGAAUUUUCACAAAACUUCUGGUUAAACGUCUUUACAACAGUUAAGACAACAGUCUCAUCAGAAAUUUAGGACAACUAUUCUCUUAAUGCUAAUAGCAGAAGAUUUUGGAAGCCAAUUGAAACCACUUGUGCUGGAUUAGAUUGUGCCCCACCACAUCUACCACGAAGCCAACCAAAGUACAGAUCCUCUAUCAACAUGUGAAAUCAAACCUGCAGAGCAGUAUAAACUAUAUUGAGUUUUCAGUUUAAAUACUUUGUUAUAGGGUACCCAAUGGGGCAGAGGACCAUUCUCAUCGAAUGCGUCCUAUUUAAGAACUUGUUCCACUAAGCAGAAAGGUACUAAAGCUGGUGUGAUUUCUUCAGCCCUGCCAGGUGAGAAAAGUGCAGAGUUAAGACCAUCUUUUGGCUCAAGCAAUGCUUUCAUUGCAUCGAAAAAGGUUGGCAGACCCUCUAAAAAUGUAGCUUCUGCCGCAUCAAUUUCUAAACCAGAAGCCACUGACAGUGUUGACAUAUCAGUAUUAUCAUAAGCAUUAUGAUUUCCACAAUCAGGUGUUGCUGUAUGGGGACUCCAUUCAUCUUGUUCAGAGACUAAUAUAUCACUUGUCUGUUCACCUUUGUCAUAAGCUGAUACAGGAGUCAUCUCAUCCAGAUUAUGAUCUUCCACGUUGGAACCCAUAUUGUCACUUCGUGCGCAUUCAUCACAAGAUGAAUUAACUGCCAUCGCACUUUCAGAAGCUGAAGCCAACUGUUUUGGUUCACUAUUGCUUAUAUGUCCCUUUGACUUUGCCUUCAACUUACAGAGAAGGAAAUUUCCCUGUAAAUGUUGAAGUACAAAAUCAAUAAAUUCAAAGUGAAAAAUGUGACCAGCCAAAGCAAAUUUAAAAAAGCUAUAACCAAUGAAACCUCACAAAACGAGAAUUUCAUUAAAUCUAGGCUAAAAUCUUCUAAUCACACUCAUAGUCGUAUCAUAUUUCAUAUAACUUCUGAAUAAGCAAGGGUAUCACGAUAUAUUUUUCAUUGGUGACAAACACAUUGGUGAGGUCAAAAUCCAAGUCUAGAAAGUAGGAACAUAUAACAAAAUACAAAUUAGCAGUCAAAUGAUUUCCCAAACACAUUGAUCAAGCAAAAACAAACAAACUAGUUGUUUCUAGUACGAACUCUUGACUAGCAUUACCUGUGGAAUGUAUUCAUACUCGUGCAUGAUCCAUUUUGUCCUGACCGCUUUAGCUUUCGGAUGUUCCUUUUCAUAGAAAACCAAAGUUCUCUUUGUGCCAAUAGGCUUCUUUGUACGAAUAUCUUUCACUUUGCGAGGCUUACCGGUGGGUUUCCAAUACCCAGCCUUGGUAGUCCUGUUGGACCUCCGGCUAUGUGUAUACUUAUAAUCACGGGGACAAAA